RNAcentral lists this ribosomal RNA (254 nucleotides) under uncultured bacterium. Its description in RNAcentral is "partial 16S ribosomal RNA". It matches the Rfam family "Bacterial small subunit ribosomal RNA", at positions 524 to 776 of the family's 1533-position model. The record is from RNAcentral.
CACGUAGGGGGCGAGCGUUGUCCGGAUUUAUUGGGCGUAAAGAGCUCGUAGGCGGCUCGGUAAGUCGGGUGUGAAAACUCAGGGCUCAACCCUGAGACGCCACUCGAUACUGCUGUGGCUAGAGUCCGGUAGGGGAGCGUGGAAUUCCUGGUGUAGCGGUGGAAUGCGCAGAUAUCAGGAGGAACACCAGCGGCGAAGGCGGCGCUCUGGGCCGGAACUGACGCUGAGGAGCGAAAGCGUGGGGAGCAAACAGG